Molecule: ribosomal RNA, 195 nt
Filed under: uncultured bacterium
Lineage: Bacteria
Description: partial 16S ribosomal RNA
Rfam family: Bacterial small subunit ribosomal RNA
Source: RNAcentral
CCUACGGGAGGCAGCAGUGGGGAAUCUUGCGCAAUGGGCGAAAGCCUGACGCAGCAACGCCGCGUGAAGGAUGAAGGUCCUUGGAUUGUAAACUUCUGUCGGCCGGGAAGAAAUUCAUCGGGGUCAAUACCCCCGGUGAUUGACUGUACCGGCAAAGGAAGCCCCGGCUAACUCUGUGCCAGCAGCCGCGGUAAU